This 445-nucleotide ribosomal RNA is filed under the name Epiperipatus cratensis. RNAcentral's name for it is "partial 12S ribosomal RNA". The record is from RNAcentral. Lineage: Eukaryota; Metazoa; Onychophora; Udeonychophora; Euonychophora; Peripatidae.
UAUUAUAAAUUAAUUUUUUCUGAAUAAAUAAAUUUUAUUAUAUUUAAAAUAAAAAUGAAAUUUCUAUUAUAAAUAAUAAAAUAAUUAAUUCUAAAUAUUAGUAAUAAACCAGGAUUAGAUACCCUGCUAUUCUAAUUAUAUAUAAUAUUUCAAAGAAAAACAACUAAAUAAAUUUGACGGUAUUAACCUUUACAAAGGAAUUUGUUUCUUAAUCGAAAAUACACGACUAACCUUACUUAAUUUUUUUUUGUAUACCACCGUAAAGAAAUUAUUCUAAAUCAAUAUCAUAAUAAAUUAUUUUACAAUAUCAGGUCAAGGUGCAAUUUAAUUAAGAUGAAAUGAAUUAUAUUUUAACAUAAACAUAUAAGAAAUGAAACUUUCUUAAAAAUAGAAUUUGUCAGUAAAAUUAAAUAAGAAUGUUUUUUUGAAAAAAUACAUUAAUAUG